AACUUGAAAAAAUCACAAAGAAAGAACUGAGUAGAUGCAUUCAGCGAAGUAAAAGCCAAUUUAUUGACAUUUAUCCUCUCUCACUUUGUAGCACUCU
Molecule: non-coding RNA, 97 nt
Filed under: Cryptomonas curvata
Lineage: Eukaryota; Cryptophyceae; Cryptomonadales; Cryptomonadaceae
Source: RNAcentral